AGAAACUUAGGAUAAAGCCAAACUAAACCGAAUGCCUUCAAAGCCUUAAAUAAGAGUUAAACCCUCUUAGUUUCUG
RNAcentral lists this transfer RNA (76 nucleotides) under Mergus merganser (common merganser). Its description in RNAcentral is "tRNA-Trp". It matches the Rfam family "tRNA". From Rfam's summary of the family: Transfer RNA (tRNA) molecules are approximately 80 nucleotides in length. Their secondary structure includes four short double-helical elements and three loops (D, anti-codon, and T loops). The record is from RNAcentral. Lineage: Eukaryota; Metazoa; Chordata; Aves; Anseriformes; Anatidae.